GACGAACGCUGGCGGCGUGCUUAACACAUGCAAGUCGAACGGAAAGGCCCUGCUUUUGUGGGGUGCUCGAGUGGCGAACGGGUGAGUAACACGUGAGUAACCUGCCCUUGACUUUGGGAUAACUUCAGGAAACUGGGGCUAAUACCGGAUAGGAGCUCCUGCUGCAUGGUGGGGGUUGGAAAGUUUCGGCGGUUGGGGAUGGACUCGCGGCUUAUCAGCUUGUUGGUGGGGUAGUGGCUUACCAAGGCUUUGACGGGUAGCCGGCCUGAGAGGGUGACCGGCCACAUUGGGACUGAGAUACGGCCCAGACUCCUACGGGAAGCAGCAGUGGGGAAUAUUGCACAAUGCGCGGAAGCCUGAUGCAGCAACGCCGCGUGCGGGAUGACGGCCUUCGGGUUGUAAACCGCUUUCGCCUGUGACGAAGCGUGAGUGACGGUAAUGGGUAAAGAAGCACCGGCUAACUACGUG
Molecule: ribosomal RNA, 468 nt
Filed under: uncultured bacterium
Lineage: Bacteria
Description: partial 16S ribosomal RNA
Rfam family: Bacterial small subunit ribosomal RNA
Source: RNAcentral